ACGAACGCUGGCGGCGUGCCUCAUCCAUGCAAGUAGCACGCUGAAGGAGGAGCUUGCUUCUCUGGAUGAGUUGCGAACGGGUGAGUAACGCGUAGGUAACCUGCCUGGUAGCGGGGGAUAACUAUUGGAAACGAUAGCUAAUACCGCAUAAUAGUAGAUGUUGCAUGACAUUUGCUUAAAAGGUGCAAUUGCAUCACUACCAGAUGGACCUGCGUUGUAUUAGCUAGUUGGUGAGGUAACGGCUCACCAAGGCAACGAUACAUAGCCGACCUGAGAGGGUGAUCGGCCACACUGGGACUGAGACACGGCCCAGACUCCUACGGGAGGCAGCAGUAGGGAAUCUUCGGCAAUGGACGGAAGUCUGACCGAGCAACGCCGCGUGAGUGAAGAAGGGUUUCGGAUCGUAAAGCUCUGUUGUAAGAGAAGAACGAGUGUGAGAGUGGAAAGUUCACACUGUGACGGUAUCUUACCAGAAAGGGACGGCUAACUACGUG
This 494-nucleotide ribosomal RNA is filed under the name uncultured bacterium. RNAcentral's name for it is "partial 16S ribosomal RNA". It matches the Rfam family "Bacterial small subunit ribosomal RNA", at positions 29 to 507 of the family's 1533-position model. The record is from RNAcentral.